Molecule: ribosomal RNA, 2901 nt
Filed under: Escherichia coli TW11039
Lineage: Bacteria; Pseudomonadati; Pseudomonadota; Gammaproteobacteria; Enterobacterales; Enterobacteriaceae
Description: bacterial LSU rRNA
Rfam family: Bacterial large subunit ribosomal RNA
Source: RNAcentral
UAAGCGACUAAGCGUACACGGUGGAUGCCCUGGCAGUCAGAGGCGAUGAAGGACGUGCUAAUCUGCGAUAAGCGUCGGUAAGGUGAUAUGAACCGUUAUAACCGGCGAUUUCCGAAUGGGGAAACCCAGUGUGAUUCGUCACACUAUCAUUAACUGAGUCCAUAGGUUAAUGAGGCGAACCGGGGGGAACUGAAACAUCUAAGUACCCCGAGGAAAAGAAAUCAACCGAGAUUCCCCCAGUAGCGGCGAGCGAACGGGGAGCAGCCCAGAGCCUGAAUCAGUGUGUGUGUUAGUGGAAGCGUCUGGAAAGGCGCGCGAUACAGGGUGACAGCCCCGUACACAAAAAUGCACAUACUGUGAGCUCGAUGAGUAGGGCGGGACACGUGGUAUCCUGUCUGAAUAUGGGGGGGACCAUCCUCCAAGGCUAAAUACUCCUGACUGACCGAUAGUGAACCAGUACCGUGAGGGAAAGGCGAAAAGAACCCCGGCGAGGGGAGUGAAAAAGAACCUGAAACCGUGUACGUACAAGCAGUGGGAGCCACAGCAAUCGGGUGACUGCGUACCUUUUGUAUAAUGGGUCAGCGACUUAUAUUCUGUAGCAAGGUUAACCGAAUAGGGGAGCCGAAGGGAAACCGAGUCUUAACUGGGCGUUAAGUUGCAGGGUAUAGACCCGAAACCCGGUGAUCUAGCCAUGGGCAGGUUGAAGGUUGGGUAACACUAACUGGAGGACCGAACCGACUAAUGUUGAAAAAUUAGCGGAUGACUUGUGGCUGGGGGUGAAAGGCCAAUCAAACCGGGAGAUAGCUGGUUCUCCCCGAAAGCUAUUUAGGUAGCGCCUCGUGAAUUCAUCUCCGGGGGUAGAGCACUGUUUCGGCAAGGGGGUCAUCCCGACUUACCAACCCGAUGCAAACUGCGAAUACCGGAGAAUGUUAUCACGGGAGACACACGGCGGGUGCUAACGUCCGUCGUGAAGAGGGAAACAACCCAGACCGCCAGCUAAGGUCCCAAAGUCAUGGUUAAGUGGGAAACGAUGUGGGAAGGCCCAGACAGCCAGGAUGUUGGCUUAGAAGCAGCCAUCAUUUAAAGAAAGCGUAAUAGCUCACUGGUCGAGUCGGCCUGCGCGGAAGAUGUAACGGGGCUAAACCAUGCACCGAAGCUGCGGCAGCGACACUGUGUGUUGUUGGGUAGGGGAGCGUUCUGUAAGCCUGUGAAGGUGUACUGUAAGGUAUGCUGGAGGUAUCAGAAGUGCGAAUGCUGACAUAAGUAACGAUAAAGCGCGUGAAAAGCCCGCUCGCCGGAAGACCAAGGGUUCCUGUCCAACGUUAAUCGGGGCAGGGUGAGUCGACCCCUAAGGCGAAGCCGAAAGGCGUAGUCGAUGGGAAACAGGUUAAUACUCCUGUACUUGGUGUUACUGCGAAGGGGGGACGGAGAAGGCUAUGUUGGCCGGGCGACGGUUGUCCCGGUUUAAGCGUGUAGGCUGGUUUUCCAGGCAAAUCCGGAAAAUCAAGGCUGAGGCGUGAUGACGAGGCACUACGGUGCUGAAGCAACAAAUGCCCUGCUUCCAGGAAAAGCCUCUAAGCAUCAGGUAACAUCAAAUCGUACCCCAAACCGACACAGGUGGUCAGGUAGAGAAUACCAAGGCGCUUGAGAGAACUCGGGUGAAGGAACUAGGCAAAAUGGUGCCGUAACUUCGGGAGAAGGCACGCUGAUAUGUAGGUGAAGUCCCUCGCGGAUGGAGCUGAAAUCAGUCGAAGAUACCAGCUGGCUGCAACUGUUUAUUAAAAACACAGCACUGUGCAAACACGAAAGUGGACGUAUACGGUGUGACGCCUGCCCGGUGCCGGAAGGUUAAUUGAUGGGGUCAGCGCAAGCGAAGCUCUUGAUCGAAGCCCCGGUAAACGGCGGCCGUAACUAUAACGGUCCUAAGGUAGCGAAAUUCCUUGUCGGGUAAGUUCCGACCUGCACGAAUGGCGUAAUGAUGGCCAGGCUGUCUCCACCCGAGACUCAGUGAAAUUGAACUCGCUGUGAAGAUGCAGUGUACCCGCGGCAAGACGGAAAGACCCCGUGAACCUUUACUAUAGCUUGACGCUGAACAUUGAGCCUUGAUGUGUAGGAUAGGUGGGAGGCUUUGAAGUGUGGACGCCAGUCUGCAUGGAGCCGACCUUGAAAUACCACCCUUUAAUGUUUGAUGUUCUAACGUGGACCCGUGAUCCGGGUUGCGGACAGUGUCUGGUGGGUAGUUUGACUGGGGCGGUCUCCUCCUAAAGAGUAACGGAGGAGCACGAAGGUUGGCUAAUCCUGGUCGGACAUCAGGAGGUUAGUGCAAUGGCAUAAGCCAGCUUGACUGCGAGCGUGACGGCGCGAGCAGGUGCGAAAGCAGGUCAUAGUGAUCCGGUGGUUCUGAAUGGAAGGGCCAUCGCUCAACGGAUAAAAGGUACUCCGGGGAUAACAGGCUGAUACCGCCCAAGAGUUCAUAUCGACGGCGGUGUUUGGCACCUCGAUGUCGGCUCAUCACAUCCUGGGGCUGAAGUAGGUCCCAAGGGUAUGGCUGUUCGCCAUUUAAAGUGGUACGCGAGCUGGGUUUAGAACGUCGUGAGACAGUUCGGUCCCUAUCUGCCGUGGGCGCUGGAGAACUGAGGGGGGCUGCUCCUAGUACGAGAGGACCGGAGUGGACGCAUCACUGGUGUUCGGGUUGUCAUGCCAAUGGCACUGCCCGGUAGCUAAAUGCGGAAGAGAUAAGUGCUGAAAGCAUCUAAGCACGAAACUUGCCCCGAGAUGAGUUCUCCCUGACCCUUUAAGGGUCCUGAAGGAACGUUGAAGACGACGACGUUGAUAGGCCGGGUGUGUAAGCGCAGCGAUGCGUUGAGCUAACCGGUACUAAUGAACCGUGAGGCUCAACCU